AUACGGAGGAUGCGAGCGUUAUCCGGAUUUAUUGGGUUUAAAGGGUGCGUAGGCUGUGCGUUAAGUCAGGGGUGAAAUGCCGUCGCUCAACGACGGAGCUGCCCUUGAUACUGGCGUGCUGGAGUACGGAUGCCGUUGGAGGAAUGAGUGGUGUAGCGGUGAAAUGCUUAGAUAUCACUCAGAACACCGAUUGCGAAGGCAUCUGACGAAACCGUCACUGACGCUGAGGCACGAAAGCGUGGGGAUAGAACAGGAUUAGAUACCCUGGUAUUCCACGCCGUAAACGAUGAUGACUAACCGUCGGCGAUAGACAGCCGGUGGCCAAGCGAAAGCGAUAAGUCAUCCACCUGGGGAGUACGUCGGCAACGAUGAAACUCAAAUGAAUUGACGGGG
Molecule: ribosomal RNA, 393 nt
Filed under: uncultured bacterium
Lineage: Bacteria
Description: partial 16S ribosomal RNA
Rfam family: Bacterial small subunit ribosomal RNA
Source: RNAcentral